GCACCCGUAGCUCAGCUGGAUAGAGCGCUGCCCUCCGGAGGCAGAGGUCAGAGGUUCGAAUCCUCUCGGGUGCACCA
Molecule: transfer RNA, 77 nt
Filed under: Rheinheimera sp.
Lineage: Bacteria; Pseudomonadati; Pseudomonadota; Gammaproteobacteria; Chromatiales; Chromatiaceae
Also listed under: 5 other names
Description: tRNA-Arg
Rfam family: tRNA
About the family: Transfer RNA (tRNA) molecules are approximately 80 nucleotides in length. Their secondary structure includes four short double-helical elements and three loops (D, anti-codon, and T loops).
Source: RNAcentral